Molecule: ribosomal RNA, 468 nt
Filed under: uncultured bacterium
Lineage: Bacteria
Description: partial 16S ribosomal RNA
Rfam family: Bacterial small subunit ribosomal RNA
Source: RNAcentral
GACGAACGCUGGCGGCGUGCUUAACACAUGCAAGUCGAACGGAGAAGCCCCUUCUUGCUUGAUCGGGUCAGUGGCGAACGGGUAAGACAUACGUGACCAACCUGCCCCUGCCUCUGGAAUACGCGCUGCAAACGCCGAUUCAUACUGGAUACGCUAAGGGCCUGCAUGGGGACUUUCUGCUUAGUUGGUCGGUUGGGGAUGGGCUGCCGGCCUGCCAGCUUGUUGGUGAGUGGAUGGCUCACCAAGGCACCGACGGGUGGCCGGCCUGAGCGGGCGACCGGCCACACUGGGACUGGAACAGGGCCAGACCUCCACCGGGAGGAAGCGGGGGGGAAUAUUGCACAAUGGGCGAAGGCCUGAUGCAGCGCGGCCGCGGGGGGGAUAACGGCCUUCGGUUGGAAACCGUCUUUCGGAGGGGAGGAAGCGAUAGUGACGGUACCUGCAGAAGAAGCACCGGCUAACUACGUG